CUUGCCAUUUCCAUUGCCAUAGCCAAUGUCGCGUGUUCAUCUCCCUGCAGAGCUGUGAGAUCAUGAGCCCCUCUUAUGGAAGGGAAACAGGGACUCACAGGAGCGAAGUGGCUUCUCCAGGGUCCUACGCUGAUCCGAGUGUCCAGUCCAGGGCUCUAAUUCCAAAGUCUAGCUUCCACAAAGGGCUGUCUUGGGAAGUGGUGAGCUCUCCAUCAGUAGAGGUGUGCAAGGAGAGGUUGAGCACCCCCUCGGCAAGGAGACAGAGAAGAGGACGGGCCUCCAGAGAUCAACCGGAAAGCCAGGCUGCCCCCUGCUGUGCUCCAGUCCUGGCUGCUCAAGCCUUCCUGCUGGGUUCUGAAGGAAGUCUGUGAAAGCCAGGCCACUUUCUGGCAGGUGAACUCUAAGCCUUUGAGCUUUAAAGUUGGCUGUGCCUCACACGGUGCCAGCCUCAGCCAUGCCCAUCCUCUCAUCCCUGCCCCGAUGAGACCCGGGAUGAAGGGUUUGAGGAGACGGGUCUGGACCACCAAGUGAGAGGUCACUGUCUGGUUCCCAGCCACAGACAACCACUCCUGGGGUGUCUCCUGGAAGGGUGAGUUGGGGGUUGGGAAGGAGGAAUUGGCCCAGCAGACAUAUCCUAGGAGGGGCAUGUGGCAGUCCUCUAACUUGCAAGUCCAGAGCCACCGAGCCAGGCCCUUCUCUGCUGUCCUGCACCGUGGCCUUUGUGACCUCUCAGGGAGGGGCCCUGGCAUCACCCAGAGAUGGCUGUAAGGUGCUCUCACUCACUCAGGGCCUCGGGCCUCGCUCAGAUGUGGGGACCUUCCCAGGGACACGGGCAGCGGAUGCUGUGGGGUCGGGCAGGCGGUCAGCUCCCCGCAUGCGCCUGCACCCUGAAGCAGAACAGGGCCCCUGGCCUCGGAGAGCCCCCUGGUCUCCAUGUCCCUGAAGCGCGGCGGGGGGAGCGUUCCACAGGCGCAGCCUUUCCGGAAAGGAGCGCCUCCGACCGUGCGGCAGGUCUGCAGCCCCUGGCGCAGCCAGCGUUCGCCUUCUGGAAGCGCCGGAGGCUGGAAGAGCGAGGGCUCUGCUCGCCAAGCUGCUCUCCGCAGCGUUGCUGUCUGCUGUCGAGGAAGGACGUCAGCCUGACGGUCCCCAGCCUUUUCCUGACACUUGAGCAUCCUCACGACGUGGCAGCUGUCUCCAGAGAGAGGGGCCCAAGGCAGAGAGCAAGGAUGAAGCUGGAGCCCCUCUUAUGACCUAGUCUCAGAAGUUGCGCUCCAUCACAUCCCCUUCUUUCUACUUCUUCGAAGGGAAUCAGUAAGUCCAGCCUGCACUCGAGAGGCAGGGCAUUAAAUUUCAACUUUGGGAGGGUGCAUCAGAGAACCUACCACCACACUUUAAAUCGCCAUGGGCACAGGACCAGUCAGCCGCUUCACUGGGAUUCCAACCUCAGCCAUCACGGCCCACAGGCCUGGGGUCCUUCUUCCUUUUCAGGAUUAGUGGGACACUGUUACAUUACAUUACAUUAGUGUGACACUCCACCCCUCAGGAUUAAGGUGACCCUCUUGGUUGGUAUCACAGGUGUAAGUAGGCACUGACUGAUCUGAGCACGGCUGGAGGGUCUGGAAUCACGGGUGAGCUGCCCUGAUCUGGAAUUUAGGAUGUGUUUUGAUGGGAAAGCUGACAGGUCAGAAUCGCUGAGGUUCCCAGCUGUGCUGUCUCAGCUGCUAUCAGGGAACAGGGGACAGCUCGGUCAUCCAGUGUCGGGUGUGUGUGUACGUGUGUGUGUAUGUGAGUAUGUCUGUGUGUGUCUGUGUGUGUGUCUUUGUGUGUGUGUCUGUGUGUGUGUGCAUAUGUGUAUCUCUGUGUAUGUGUCUGUGUGCAUGUCUAUGUGUGUACAUGUGUAUAUGUGUUUGUGUAUGUGCAUGUUUGUGUGUGUGUGUGUCCUAUGUGUGUGUCUGAAUUUCUGUGUGUGGCUGUUGUGUACACCUGUGUGUGUGUGUGUCCGUGUCUGUGUACAUGUGUGUCUGUACAUGUCUGUGUGUUUCCCUGUCUGUGAGUGUUUGUGUGUGCAUGUGCCCAGGUGUGUGCGCACAGUGGGCAGUAGGCUUGGGGAGUAGAUUGUACAGGCCCUUGCAGGCCCUGGUAAGGCGUUUGGGCUUCAAAUUGUAAUGAGUGGAGCCAUAAGGGGUUGAAGCAAGGAGUUUAAGGUGAGCCGAGGUCCAGUUUCUCCUUUGGAAGGUGCUGCAGGGUGGAGAAUGGGGUGGGGGGCCAAGGCUGUCUAGGGGCGAGCACACACCAUCCAGGAGACCACGGCCAGCCUGGACUGGAUGGUGGCCCGUGAGGAGAGGAGUGGGAAGGGGUCAGUUGCUGGGAUUUGGUGACCGUUUGGUCUUGAGGUCGAGGAGGAUGGGAGGAGCCCACGAUGCCGUGGCUGUCUGGUGGGUAUUGGUGGCAUUGCUGAGAAGAGGACCUAGGAGAAGAGGGAGCUGGAUGAGAGAGGACAAGGAGCCCAGUUUUGAUCAGCCUGCGUGAGAUGCUGGUGGCUCAUCCCUGGGUGGCCCUGGAGUGUUUGGCUAUUUGCGACUAGAGCUCCACCGAGAGGUGAGGGCUGGGGAGCAGGCUCUGGGAGGCACCCGAUGGCGCAGUGAAGAGCCUGGUCUUGGAGGAGAGAUAGACUUGAGCUUUGAAUGUUAACCUUCUUUGGGCCUCAGUGUCCUCAACUGUAAACUGGGGACAAACAUCGUUCUGAAGACUAUGCACGCAAUGUAUGCAGAGUGCUCUGGCAUACGCUGGCACACAAUGAACUCAAAGUCCCCUCCUUGCACCAGAAGGCCCAGGGAAUUGUGAGGGAUGUGCACCCCCCUGGGGAGAAAGAGGCAGCUAGAAUUGGGGGACGGGGCCCUCCUAAGAGCUAGAUUCUGGGUGCACCGGAUGUCUGUCCAGAACAAGGCCCUGUUCCCACCAGUUCCCACCAGUUCCCACCAGUUCCCAGGACCGGCUGUGAGUCAUUGCUGCUGCCUUUGUUUUGACUGGUGCCUGAUGCAGCCUGGCUCUGCAAUGAUGCAGAUGCUGAUGCUGUUGCUAGGCAACCGAGCUACAGCACAAAUCCUCUGAGGCCUCUGUGCCCCUCACCCCUUACCCCAGAGCUGCUGACAGUGGUUGACUUGAAACUGGCUGUCAAAACGGAGAGGAGUUCACCUGCAGGUCCGAGGCCCCAAGAUGCGUGUUCUAACUACUCCCAUCUGACAGAUGAGAAACCCAGGACUUAGAGAGGGAAAGUGGCUCAUCCAAGCCCACCUUCAGAGUCGAUGGAGGAACUGAGAUGUAAGCCUGGGUCUGUCUGAGUCCAGGAAUCAUGAGAGGAAAGGGAAUUCGGCGUUGAUUCCUCGCCUGGUUUCAGCACUCCCUGCUUCAUCCGCUGUCCACUGCAAUUCAUUCUCUGCAAAGCAACUGGAAGUCAGAUCUGUGCUGCUGCUACAGCCCGCCCACCCUGCCCAGGGCCUCGGGGUGCCCCUUACACUAAAUACUCGUGCUGUGUGCAGCCUGACACUGCGAGCCCUCCGUGGCAUCACUUCCCUCCCCAUUCAUGCUUCCUCCUCCCUCCUUUCUGUGUCUCCUUCCUUUUCUCUAAGCUUCAUGCUCUCCAAGGCCUCAGAGCAGGUGACUUCCCCACCUUGACACGGGGAGAUCCUCGCCCACCGCCCGCAGGUUUCAGCUCAGAUGCCUCCCCAGCAGCCUUCCCCGAGGCUGAGUGUGGAGUCUGCUUGCUCCUAGGUGGCCCUGCACACCCCUUUGUGCCCAUUCAAGUGACUCUCCUCUAACCAGGCAAUGAGAGUCCACAUGUCACUCGCUCUUCAUCUACUCCAACACCUACCCAGACCAAGAAAUACGUUCUGAAGGGAUGAGCGUCUGAAAAGUGGAUGUCUGAACCCGUGAAGCAAGCGUCCUGGGGUGUUUGGUCUUAACAUUCAUUGAGCAUGAAUGUUUAAUCUGCCUCUGCUCUGGCCAGACAUUGUGCUGGGUCUAGUGCGCAUCCCCGGGGAAGCACUCACACCUCACUGUAGCCUAUUUUGCAGGUGAGGAACCUGAGGCUCAGAGACAGGAAGCAACUUGCCCAAGGCAGCACAGCGUGUAAUUAAAAGUGCCAGGAUCCAAGCCCAAGUCUAUCUAUCUGGUCCCACAGCUCUGCUGUGAAGUUCCUGGUCUCUCUGAAGAGCAUUUAAAAUGAAACAGUGCAGAAAUAAGAGCCCUGACAUUUUCACGGAUCCACAGUGUUUGCAGACACCUUCAGUUCGGAGACAACACCUGUCAGAGAAUGAAAAGGCCAAGUUGAGGCUGGGAGUGGAGGAGCGGAGAAUAGCGGGGUAGGGGAGUUACAGGGAAAGCACAGGGAGAGAGCCGCACUGGGUGGUCCCUCCCCAGGACACCAGGAGCACCCUCCUCCCCUCCACAGCACUCAGCAGGGUCCGCUCAGUGACGAGUCCGCAGACCUGGUGCACUGCCUUGGCCUCUCCGCCCUCAGCGGCCCAGCCAUCUGGACCCUGUCCCCAGGAGCCAGGCAGGCCUCCCGGCUGAGAAGGGGCACAGCCAUGCCCGGCUGCAGCAGCUCUUCUCGGAAAGUGGGGCAGCAGGUGCCUGCAGCCUGGGGGAGGCAUGAGGGAGCUUUGGGAUGGCCAGAGUGACAUGUGCAGGAUGGAGGGG
RNAcentral lists this long non-coding RNA (4698 nucleotides) under Equus caballus (horse). RNAcentral describes it as "lncRNA (ENSECAG00000058120.1)". Lineage: Eukaryota; Metazoa; Chordata; Mammalia; Perissodactyla; Equidae. The record is from RNAcentral.